GAUGAACGCUGGCGGCGUGCCUAAUACAUGCAAGUCGAGCGAACGGACGAGAAGCUUGCUUCUCUGAUGUUAGCGGCGGACGGGUGAGUAACACGUGGAUAACCUACCUAUAAGACUGGGAUAACUUCGGGAAACCGGAGCUAAUACCGGAUAAUAUUUUGAACCGCAUGGUUCAAAAGUGAAAGACGGUCUUGCUGUCACUUAUAGAUGGAUCCGCGCUGCAUUAGCUAGUUGGUAAGGUAACGGCUUACCAAGGCAACGAUGCAUAGCCGACCUGAGAGGGGGACCGGCCACACUGGAACUGAGACACGGCCCAGAAUCCUACGGGAGGCAGCAGUAGGGAAUCUUCCGAAAGGGGCGAAAGCCUGACGGAGAAACGCCGCGGGAGUGAAGAAGGUUUUCGGAUCGUAAAACUCUGUUAUUAGGGAAGAAAAUAUGUUUAAGUAACUGUGCACAUCUUGACGGUACCUAAACAGAAAGCCCCGGCUAACUACGU
This 496-nucleotide ribosomal RNA is filed under the name uncultured bacterium. RNAcentral's name for it is "partial 16S ribosomal RNA". It matches the Rfam family "Bacterial small subunit ribosomal RNA", at positions 28 to 506 of the family's 1533-position model. The record is from RNAcentral.